RNAcentral lists this transfer RNA (71 nucleotides) under Cordylochernes scorpioides. RNAcentral's name for it is "tRNA-Gly". It matches the Rfam family "tRNA". From Rfam's summary of the family: Transfer RNA (tRNA) molecules are approximately 80 nucleotides in length. Their secondary structure includes four short double-helical elements and three loops (D, anti-codon, and T loops). Further hydrogen bonds mediate the characteristic L-shaped molecular structure. tRNAs have two regions of fundamental functional importance: the anti-codon, which is responsible for specific mRNA codon recognition, and the 3' end, to which the tRNAs corresponding amino acid is attached (by aminoacyl-tRNA synthetases). tRNAs cope with the degeneracy of the genetic code in two manners: having more than one tRNA (with a specific anti-codon) for a particular amino acid; and 'wobble' base-pairing, i.e. permitting non-standard base-pairing at the 3rd anti-codon position. Lineage: Eukaryota; Metazoa; Arthropoda; Arachnida; Pseudoscorpiones; Chernetidae. The record is from RNAcentral.
CCAUCGGUGGUUCAGUGGUAGAAUGCUCGCCUACCACGCGGUCGGCCCGGGUUCGAUCCCCGGCCGAUGCA